This 776-nucleotide ribosomal RNA is filed under the name Psora decipiens. RNAcentral describes it as "SSU rRNA". It matches the Rfam family "Bacterial small subunit ribosomal RNA", at positions 353 to 1214 of the family's 1533-position model. Lineage: Eukaryota; Fungi; Ascomycota; Lecanoromycetes; Lecanorales; Psoraceae. The record is from RNAcentral.
UGCGAGGAAUGUAUAGCGAUAGCUAAUUGCAUCGAAAAUAUGAUGCAAGAUCGAUUUAUUGAAUAAAAUUCUGGGUAGAAUUAUGAUUAUGACAUUGUCUACCCAUGUGUCUUGACCAAAUUACGUGCCAGCAGUCGCGGUAAUACGUAGAAGACUAGUGUUAUUCAUCUUUAAUAGGUUUAAAGGGUACCUAGACGGUAAAUCAAGCCCUAGACGGGACUAAUUUGCUAGAGUUACUUGUGAGGGGGUUUUAAAGUACUAAUGGUGUAGAGAUGAAAUUUUGUAAUACCAUUUUUCGAAAGGAAAGUAAUGGCACAGGUAUAGGCGAAAGCAUCCCCUUAUGUGAUAACUGACGUUGAAGGACGAAGGCUUUGAGUCGCGAACAGGAUUAGAUACCCUGGUAGUCAAAGCAGAAAAUAAUGAGUGUCAUAGAUUAGAUAUUAAAGUUUAUUCUAUAAAUGAAAGUGUAAGCACUCCACCUCAAGAGUAAUUUGGCAACAUUGGAACUGAAAUCAUUAGACCGUUUCUGAAACCAGUAGUGAAGUAUGUUGUUUAAUUUGAUAAUCCGCAAAAAACCUUACCACAAUUUGAAUAUUUAUAUCGUUGAUAUAAUUACAAGCGUUGCACGGCUGUCUUCAGUUAAUGUCGUGAGAUUUUGGUUAGAUCCAUUAAAUUAACGCAAGCCCUUACUUUAUUUUAAAAUAAAGUCGUUCCCCACUAGAUUGGAUAAGAUAACAGGGAUUAAGACAAGUCAUCAUGGCCUGAAUAUUGUGGGC